This 72-nucleotide transfer RNA is filed under the name Chloropicon roscoffensis. RNAcentral's name for it is "tRNA-Ala". It matches the Rfam family "tRNA". From Rfam's summary of the family: Transfer RNA (tRNA) molecules are approximately 80 nucleotides in length. Their secondary structure includes four short double-helical elements and three loops (D, anti-codon, and T loops). Further hydrogen bonds mediate the characteristic L-shaped molecular structure. tRNAs have two regions of fundamental functional importance: the anti-codon, which is responsible for specific mRNA codon recognition, and the 3' end, to which the tRNAs corresponding amino acid is attached (by aminoacyl-tRNA synthetases). tRNAs cope with the degeneracy of the genetic code in two manners: having more than one tRNA (with a specific anti-codon) for a particular amino acid; and 'wobble' base-pairing, i.e. permitting non-standard base-pairing at the 3rd anti-codon position. The record is from RNAcentral. Lineage: Eukaryota; Viridiplantae; Chlorophyta; Chloropicophyceae; Chloropicales; Chloropicaceae.
GGGGAUGUAACUCAAGGGUAGAGUAUAUGCUUUGCAAGCAUGAGGUUACCGGUUCAAAUCCGGUCAUCUCCA